RNAcentral lists this ribosomal RNA (200 nucleotides) under uncultured bacterium. RNAcentral's name for it is "partial 16S ribosomal RNA". It matches the Rfam family "Bacterial small subunit ribosomal RNA", at positions 28 to 231 of the family's 1533-position model. The record is from RNAcentral.
GAUGAACGCUAGCGGCAGGCUUAACACAUGCAAGUCGAGGGGUAUAGCACUUCGGUGCUAGAGACCGGCGCACGGGUGCGUAACGCGUAUGCAAUCUACCUUUUACAGAGGGAUAGCCCAGAGAAAUUUGGAUUAAUACCUCAUAGUAUUAUAGAAUGGCAUCAUUUUAUAAUUAAAGUCACAACGGUAAAAGAUGAGCA